RNAcentral lists this ribosomal RNA (433 nucleotides) under uncultured bacterium. RNAcentral's name for it is "partial 16S ribosomal RNA". It matches the Rfam family "Bacterial small subunit ribosomal RNA", at positions 29 to 507 of the family's 1533-position model. The record is from RNAcentral.
AACGAACGCUGGCGGCAUGCCUAACACAUGCAAGUCGAACGAGACCUUCGGGUCUAGUGGCGCACGGGUGCGUAACGCGUGGGAACCUGCCCUUAGGUUCGGAAUAACUCCCCGAAAGGGGUGCUAAUACCGGAUAAUGUCUUCGGACCAAAGAUUUAUCGCCGUUGGAUGGGCCCGCGUUGGAUUAGCUAGUUGGUAGGGUAAAAGCCUACCAAGGCGACGAUCCAUAGCUGGUCUGAGAGGAUGAUCAGCCACACUGGGACUGAGACACGGCCCAGACUCCUACGGGAGGCAGCAGUGGGGAAUAUUGGACAAUGGGCGAAAGCCUGAACCAGCAAUGCCGCGUGAGUGAUGAAGGCCUUAGGGUUGUAAAGCUCUUUUACCCGGGAUGAUAAUGACAGUACCGGGAGAAUAAGCUCCGGCUAACUCCGUG